GUCGCUUUGGCCGAGUGGUUAAGGUGUGUGCCUACUAAAUACACAGGAGAUCAAAUCUCUCAAGCGACU
RNAcentral lists this transfer RNA (69 nucleotides) under Salix viminalis (osier). It matches the Rfam family "tRNA". From Rfam's summary of the family: Transfer RNA (tRNA) molecules are approximately 80 nucleotides in length. Their secondary structure includes four short double-helical elements and three loops (D, anti-codon, and T loops). The record is from RNAcentral. Lineage: Eukaryota; Viridiplantae; Streptophyta; Magnoliopsida; Malpighiales; Salicaceae.